GUAGCAGUGAGCAGAGAACUUUCGAGUAGUUGCUCGUAGUAACUAGAUAAGAAGUAGUGAUGUAAGUGCUUGCGUAUGAUAAGAGGGGCGUAGACGAAGGUGUACAAGGCUAUAUAAACUGUUGUCACGAGUUAAUAAACGCCAUUUUACCACCCACCACAUUGGUGUGCACCGAGGUAGAUGGACAGACCGAGAUGUCCCUAACGAUUGCGAACACCUUGAUGAAGCUGGAGCGGGCUUCCGGCUUCAACAGAAAGCUGCCACAA
Phasianus colchicus (ring-necked pheasant) is the source of this 266-nucleotide non-coding RNA. The record is from RefSeq and is a predicted model, not a curated record. NCBI's taxonomy places the organism in Eukaryota, Metazoa, Chordata, Aves, Galliformes, Phasianidae.